GUCCCUGUAGCUUAUAACAAAGCAUGGCACUGAAGAUGCCAAGAUGGCUGCCACGCACACCCAAGGACA
Molecule: transfer RNA, 69 nt
Filed under: Nyctibius bracteatus (Rufous potoo)
Lineage: Eukaryota; Metazoa; Chordata; Aves; Nyctibiiformes; Nyctibiidae
Description: tRNA-Phe
Source: RNAcentral